This 340-nucleotide signal recognition particle RNA is filed under the name Macaca mulatta (Rhesus monkey). RNAcentral describes it as "Metazoan signal recognition particle RNA (ENSMMUG00000055351.1)". It matches the Rfam family "Metazoan signal recognition particle RNA". Rfam says of the family: The signal recognition particle (SRP) is a universally conserved ribonucleoprotein. It is involved in the co-translational targeting of proteins to membranes. The eukaryotic SRP consists of a 300-nucleotide 7S RNA and six proteins: SRPs 72, 68, 54, 19, 14, and 9. Lineage: Eukaryota; Metazoa; Chordata; Mammalia; Primates; Cercopithecidae. The record is from RNAcentral.
GCCGGGCGUCAUGGCAGGCGCCUGUAGUCCCAGCUACUCAGGAGGCUGAGGCAGGAGAAUGGUGUGAACCUGGGAGGCGGAGCUUGCAGUGAGCCGAGAUCACGCCACUGCACUCCAGCCUGGGCAACAGAGUGAGACUGUCUCAAAAAAAAAAAAAAAAAAAAAAAGUAUAAAAAUUUAAACCAUUAUAAAAGUAUGCCCAGCCAUUCUGUACUUUUUUUUUUUUUUUUUUUUUUUGAGACGGAGUCUUGCUGUGUCGCCCAGGCUGGAGUGCAGUGGCCGGAUCUCAGCUCACUGCAAGCUCCGCCUCCCGGGUUUUUACGCCAUUCUCCUGCCUCAG